RNAcentral lists this transfer RNA (67 nucleotides) under Indostomus paradoxus (armoured stickleback). RNAcentral describes it as "tRNA-Tyr". Lineage: Eukaryota; Metazoa; Chordata; Actinopteri; Synbranchiformes; Indostomidae. The record is from RNAcentral.
GAUAGAAUGGCUGAGUAAGUGGUGGGUUGUAGCCCCAUAUACAGAGGAUAAGCCCCUCUUUCUGUCA